GUGCCAGCAGCCGCGGUAAUACGUAGGGUGCGAGCGUUAAUCGGAAUUACUGGGCGUAAAGUGUGCGCAGGCGGCCGCGCAAGUCGAGUGUGAAAUCCCCGAGCUUAACUUGGGAAUUGCGCUCGAAACUACGUGGCUGGAGUAUGGCAGAGGAAGGUGGAAUUCCACGUGUAGCGGUGAAAUGCGUAGAGAUGUGGAGGAACACCGAUGGCGAAGGCAGCCUUCUGGGCCAAUACUGACGCUCAUGCACGAAAGCGUGGGGAGCAAACAGGAUUAGAUACCCGCGUAGUCC
RNAcentral lists this ribosomal RNA (292 nucleotides) under uncultured bacterium. Its description in RNAcentral is "partial 16S ribosomal RNA". It matches the Rfam family "Bacterial small subunit ribosomal RNA", at positions 505 to 796 of the family's 1533-position model. The record is from RNAcentral.